AAAAAAAAAAAAGAAAACCUCCAAAAACAAAUGACAAUUCAUCACAUUUACUUUGAUUAAAAAAGGACUAAACUUUAUUGACAGAUUGAGACAGACAUUUUGACAAUUUUUGAGCUACCUAGUUAGGCAGACUUUACACAAAAUGUUGCAUUUUUCUCUUCCAGAACAGAGUGGGAGGACAGUGUCACAAAUCCAAUUAGGACUUUAUCUUAUGUACAAAGUGAAUUUUGGGUUGGUUUUUGUCUGUUUUAUUUUAAAUUUUGGUUUUUUUUUUUUUUUUUUUUUUUGUAUUUUGUUUUUUUUAAUGGUGGCAGCCACUACUGUUACAUUAUGAUUUUAAUUCUUAAAAAAUAACCCUGAAUUUUGAAAUGUAGCCUACUUUGGGAUUCUGCAACUACAACCUUUAUGGGUUCCUUUAAAACAAACUUUAAAAGUUUUAACAAAACCUUAAUUUCAGCACUAAGCAUAGCAUGUCACUUUUGGAAACUAACAUUUUUUUUU
This 501-nucleotide long non-coding RNA is filed under the name Junco hyemalis (dark-eyed junco). Its description in RNAcentral is "lncRNA (ENSJHYG00000006858.1)". Lineage: Eukaryota; Metazoa; Chordata; Aves; Passeriformes; Passerellidae. The record is from RNAcentral.